Molecule: non-coding RNA, 488 nt
Organism: Cricetulus griseus (Chinese hamster)
Lineage: Eukaryota; Metazoa; Chordata; Mammalia; Rodentia; Cricetidae
Source: RefSeq, a predicted model, not a curated record
GGGAGGGUCAGGCUGGGGAAAUCACCACGCUGGGAAACUGGGGGUAUCACACAUGGCUGCUCCUUGAAUGUUCUGUGAGUGAGCAGCCCUGCUGUUCGGCCCAGAACCUGCUGGUCUGGGGAUUCUCAUCAGCGACAGACCUGCCCCACACUCUCCUGGUUCUGGUUGGACGAGACCACUGCUUGACUUGCCAUCACGUGUACCCUUAAAGAAUAGGAGUUCAUUGACCUGGAAGACACGCCUCAUCACAGCGUCUAACUUCAAGACUGUACUCUAGCAUUCAUUCUGCCUGUUGCCAUGCUUUAUACUUCACACCGAGCCUUUCACAUUGACUACCUCACCCUUCUUGCUCCCACACCGAUGGAUUGAAGGAACCCUCCAAUCCCAGCACUCAGAAGGCAGAUGCAGGAGUCUGAAGGCAGCCUGGUCUAUAAACCUUCAUCCAGCACCUGGUGGAAGGAGAAGCAGACACCCACAACUAAUCACAG